RNAcentral lists this transfer RNA (69 nucleotides) under Allobates tinae. Its description in RNAcentral is "tRNA-Met". Lineage: Eukaryota; Metazoa; Chordata; Amphibia; Anura; Aromobatidae. The record is from RNAcentral.
AGUAAAAUCAGCUAAAUAAGCUUUUGGGCCCAUACCCCAAACAUGUCGGCUAAACCCCUUCUUUUACUA